AUUGAACGCUGGCGGCAGGCCUAACACAUGCAAGUCGAGCGAGCGGCGGACGGGUGAGUAAUGUCUGGGAAACUUUGCGCUGGAGGGGGAUAACUCAGGGAAAAAGUACCGAUUAUCGCAUACCAUCAGAUGUGCCCAGAUGGGAGUAGCUAGUAGGUGGGGGAAUGGCUCACCUAGGCGACGAUCCCUAGCUGGUCUGAGAGGAUGACCAGCCACACUGGAACUGAGACACGGUCCAGACUCCUACGGGAGGCAGCAGUGGGGAAUAUUGCACAAUGGGGGAAAGCCUGAUGCAGCCAUGCCGCGUGUAUGAAGAAGGCCUUCGGGUUGUAAAGCACUUUCAGCGGGGAGGCGUUACCCGCAGAAGAAGCACCGGCUAACUCCGUGCCAGCAGCCGCGGUAAUUC
This 406-nucleotide ribosomal RNA is filed under the name uncultured bacterium. RNAcentral describes it as "partial 16S ribosomal RNA". It matches the Rfam family "Bacterial small subunit ribosomal RNA", at positions 30 to 526 of the family's 1533-position model. The record is from RNAcentral.